AACGAACGCUGGCGGCAUGCCUAACACAUGCAAGUCGAACGAGACCCUCGGGUCUAGUGGCGCACGGGUGCGUAACGCGUGGGAACCUGCCCUUAGGUUCGGAAUAACUCCCCGAAAGGGGUGCUAAUACCGGAUAAUGUCUUCGGACCAAAGAUUUAUCGCCUUUGGAUGGGCCCGCGUUGGAUUAGCUAGUUGGUAGGGUAAAAGCCUACCAAGGCGACGAUCCAUAGCUGGUCUGAGAGGAUGAUCAGCCACACUGGGACUGAGACACGGCCCAGACUCCUACGGGAGGCAGCAGUGGGGAAUAUUGGACAAUGGGCGAAAGCCUGAUCCAGCAAUGCCGCGUGAGUGAUGAAGGCCUUAGGGUUGUAAAGCUCUUUUACCCGGGAUGAUAAUGACAGUACCGGGAGAAUAAGCUCCGGCUAACUCCGUG
This 433-nucleotide ribosomal RNA is filed under the name uncultured bacterium. RNAcentral describes it as "partial 16S ribosomal RNA". It matches the Rfam family "Bacterial small subunit ribosomal RNA", at positions 29 to 507 of the family's 1533-position model. The record is from RNAcentral.